RNAcentral lists this ribosomal RNA (205 nucleotides) under Vibrio sp. OPT41. Its description in RNAcentral is "partial 23S ribosomal RNA". It matches the Rfam family "Bacterial large subunit ribosomal RNA", at positions 484 to 692 of the family's 2925-position model. Lineage: Bacteria; Pseudomonadati; Pseudomonadota; Gammaproteobacteria; Vibrionales; Vibrionaceae. RNAcentral also lists the same sequence under 1 other name. The record is from RNAcentral.
CCGAUAGUGAACCAGUACCGUGAGGGAAAGGCGAAAAGAACCCCUGUGAGGGGAGUGAAAUAGAACCUGAAACCGUGUACGUACAAGCAGUAGGAGCACCUUCGUGGUGUGACUGCGUACCUUUUGUAUAAUGGGUCAGCGACUUAUAUUCAGUGGCAAGGUUAACCAUCUAGGGGAGCCGUAGGGAAACCGAGUCUUAACUGGG